AGCACCCGGGCGCGUCCGGGGCUGUGGGAGCCGAAAGUUGGGGUCUUGCUCUGUCGCUCAGGCUGGAGUGCAGUGGCAUGAUCAUGGGUCACUGCAGCCUUGAACUCCUGGGCUUAAGGGAUCUUCUCAUCUCAGUCUCCUAAAUAGCUGGGACUACAGGCUCAGGCCACCAUGCCUGCAUGAGGCCCUCACCAGAUACAGCCACCUGAUCUUGGACUUCACAGCCUCCAGAAAUAGAUGCCUUCUGCCAUGAUUAUAAGUUUCCUGAGGCCUCCCCAGCCAUGCAGAACUUCCAGUGAUUCAAGUUUGACACACCACACCACGGUGGAUGUGCCUUGUCAUGACACAUCUCAGCAGCACUAGAAGAUACAUCCAAAGUCCUGUGAGCAAGGUCUGUGGUAUCUGUUUAUUAUGGCAGCCCAGUAAGACUAAGACAGGCCAUCACAAGACGUGAACGUUUUGGACCUUCUCUUGGGCCCUAGUAAACAGAAAUCAGAAGGAAGAAAACUUUGCUAAUGCUCUGCCAAGCCUCACUUUUCUCUCAUGAUUAGAAGGUUUGAUGUUAUCCAGAAUUACUCAUGGAAGAUGGAAGAGCUGCAGCAUUACAAUGAAAGCCAUCUUACAACAGCCUGAGCUAUUUAUUAAACUAAUCCACGUUCUGAACAGUUAUUGCUACUGGAAACCAGUCCCGAUCCAGACCACAAAAGACGAUUCUUGGAUCUUGCACAAGAAAGAAAGGGAAGAUCUGGCAAGAGUUAGCGUGCAGUUCUACAUUGUGACAAUUCAUGAGAGCUAAGGACUGGCUGUCUCUUGGGACAAAUAGGCUUUCUUGAGUCUGCAUGAGGCCCUCACCAGAUACAGCCACCUGAUCUUGGACUUCACAGCCUCCAGAAAU
RNAcentral lists this long non-coding RNA (895 nucleotides) under Homo sapiens (human). Its description in RNAcentral is "HSALNT0322640". The record is from RNAcentral. Lineage: Eukaryota; Metazoa; Chordata; Mammalia; Primates; Hominidae.